GACGAACGCUGGCGGCGUGCCUAUACAUGCAAGUCGAGCGAGCUUGCCUAGAUGAUUUUAGUUGCUUGCACUAAAAAUAGAAACUAAGAUACAAGCGAGCGGCGGACGGGUGAGUAACACGUGGGUAACCUGCCCAAGAGACUGGGAUAACACCUGGAAACAGAUGCUAAUACCGGAUAACAAUACUAGACGCAUGUCUAGAGUUUGAAAGAUGGUUCUGCUAUCACUCUUGGAUGGACCUGCGGUGCAUUAGCUAGUUGGUAAGGUAACGGCUUACCAAGGCAAUGAUGCAUAGCCGAGUUGAGAGACUGAUCGGCCACAUUGGGACUGAGACACGGCCCAAAACUCCUGCGGAGGCAGCAGUAGGGAAUCUUCCACAAUGGACGCAAGUCUGAUGGAGCAACGCCGCGUGAGUGAAGAAGGUUUUUCGGAUCGUAAAGCUCUGUUGUUGGUGAAGAAGGAUAGAGGUAGUAAC
RNAcentral lists this ribosomal RNA (475 nucleotides) under uncultured bacterium. Its description in RNAcentral is "bacterial SSU rRNA". It matches the Rfam family "Bacterial small subunit ribosomal RNA", at positions 28 to 465 of the family's 1533-position model. The record is from RNAcentral.